CAGCAGCCGCGGUAAAACGAAGGGUGCAAGCGUUACUCGGAAUUACUGGGCGCAAAGCGUGCGUAGGUGGUGGUUUAAGUCCGUUGUGAAAGCCCUGGGCUCAACCUGGGAAUUGCAGUGGAUACUGGGUCACUAGAGUGUGGUAGAGGAUAGUGGAAUUUCCGGUGUAGCAGUGAAAUGCGUAGAGAUCGGAAGGAACAUCUGUGGCGAAGGCGACUAUCUGGGCCAACACUGACACUGAGGCACGAAAGCGUGGGGAGCAAACAGGAUUAGAUACCCCGGUAGUCCCUGUCUCUUAUAC
RNAcentral lists this ribosomal RNA (301 nucleotides) under uncultured bacterium. RNAcentral describes it as "partial 16S ribosomal RNA". It matches the Rfam family "Bacterial small subunit ribosomal RNA", at positions 509 to 807 of the family's 1533-position model. The record is from RNAcentral.